CCUACGGGGGGCAGCAGUGAGGAAUUUUCGGCAAUGGGGGCAACCCUGACCGAGCAACGCCGCGUGCAGGACGAAGGUUUUCGGAUCGUAAACUGCUUUUCUCGGGGACGAGCAAGGACGGUACCCGAGGAAUAAGCCCCGGCUAACUACGUGCCAGCAGCCGCGGUAAUACGUAGGGGGCAAGCGUUGUCCGGAUUUACUGGGCGUAAAGGGCCCGCAGGCGGUCGGUCAAGUUCGGGGUGACAGCUCUCGGCUCAACUGAGGGAGUGCCACGAAAACUGGCGGACUUGAGAAUCAGAGAGGGACACGGAAUUCCGGGUGUAGUGGUGAAAUGCGUAGAUAUCCGGAGGAACACCGAAGGCGAAGGCAGUGUCCUGGCUGACAUCUGACGCUGAGGGGCGAAAGCUAGGGGAGCGAACGGGAUUAGAUACCCCUGUAGUC
Molecule: ribosomal RNA, 441 nt
Filed under: uncultured bacterium
Lineage: Bacteria
Description: bacterial SSU rRNA
Rfam family: Bacterial small subunit ribosomal RNA
Source: RNAcentral